RNAcentral lists this ribosomal RNA (484 nucleotides) under uncultured bacterium. RNAcentral's name for it is "partial 16S ribosomal RNA". It matches the Rfam family "Bacterial small subunit ribosomal RNA", at positions 30 to 507 of the family's 1533-position model. The record is from RNAcentral.
AUUGAACGCUGGCGGCAGGCCUAACACAUGCAAGUCGAGCGGAUGAAGGGAGCUUGCUCCUGGAUUCAGCGGCGGACGGGUGAGUAAUGCCUAGGAAUCUGCCUGGUCGUGGGGGAUAACGUCCGGAAACGGGCGCUAAUACCGCAUACGUCCUGAGGGAGAAAGUGGGGGAUCUUAGGACCUCACGCUAUCAGAUGAGCCUAGGUCGGAUUAGCUAGUUGGUGGGGUAAAGGCCUACCAAGGCGACGAUCCGUAACUGGUCUGAGAGGAUGAUCAGUCACACUGGAACUGAGACACGGUCCAGACUCCUACGGGAGGCAGCAGUGGGGAAUAUUGGACGAUGGGCGAAAGCCUGAUCCAGCCAUGCCGCGUGUGUGAAGAAGGUCUUCGGAUUGUAAAGCACUUUAAGUUGGGAGGAAGGGCAGUAAGUUAAUACCUUGCUGUUUUGACGUUACCAACAGAAUAAGCACCGGCUAACUUCGUG